RNAcentral lists this long non-coding RNA (385 nucleotides) under Cucumis sativus (cucumber). RNAcentral describes it as "long non-coding RNA (CSAT_LNC001816)". The record is from RNAcentral. Lineage: Eukaryota; Viridiplantae; Streptophyta; Magnoliopsida; Cucurbitales; Cucurbitaceae.
CUACUCAGUCGCAAGGAUCAAAGAAUUUGAUUGACAAAGAAUAUUGCGAGGCUCAAAGAUUCUUAAUCAAUUGAUUCGACCACUUUUCUGGAGGGGUCCUCCGGACUAUUCAACCUAUUAGUUUGACGUCUGAACUUUUUUUAUUGCUUCCACUUUCUGGGAGUAUGAAAGAGAAGAGAAGAAGCAGCAGGGAGGGGAGGAAGAAAAGAAAGCCUAAAGAACAGACAUUCAGUUCCAUCAAUUCCAAGCCUAUCCUAACCGCUCCGACGGAGCUUUCGCAAAUUCUUUGCGCCUAACCUUUGCGGUGAGUCCUUCGGACCAGCUGACUAUUCGCUAUUCUAAAACCGGGGAGCCGAGCACUCUCAAAUAUAGCUUAAAGGAAGAU